Molecule: long non-coding RNA, 212 nt
Filed under: Capsicum annuum
Lineage: Eukaryota; Viridiplantae; Streptophyta; Magnoliopsida; Solanales; Solanaceae
Description: long non-coding RNA (CANN_LNC008570)
Source: RNAcentral
UUUUAUUUAAAGUAGUACGUAUAGUCAUAUAUAAUUAUAUAUUGAAUGGUACGUAUAUAUGUGUAAUUGUUUAUAUAUUUUUUUAAAAAUAUAUAUUGUAUAUAUUGGAGUGUAUAUAGUGUAUAUUGGAGUGUAUAUAGUGUAUAUUGGAUUUUUUAUUUAUUUUUUAAACGGGUUUGACCGGUUUUUAAACGGGUUUGACCGGGUUUUGG